Molecule: ribosomal RNA, 518 nt
Filed under: cf. Hebella scandens 1 CM-2011
Lineage: Eukaryota; Metazoa; Cnidaria; Hydrozoa; Leptothecata; Hebellidae
Description: partial 16S ribosomal RNA
Rfam family: Bacterial large subunit ribosomal RNA
Source: RNAcentral
AAAUGUAUAAAAAACAUUUAACAAAACUUAAAGGACGCAGUAACCUUGACUGUGAUAAUGUAGCAUAAUCACUCGCCAUUUAAUUGAUGGAUAGUAUGAAUGGUUGAACGAAUAUACCACUGUCUUAAAAAGAAAUACCAAAAAAUUAAAAUAAUAGUUAAGAUGCUAUUUAAAAUUGUAAGACGAAAAGACCCUAUAGAGCUUAACUAUAUUCUCUUUUAAAAAUAAUAGAAAAAACUAAAACAAAGAGAGAAUGGUAGUUUAGUUGGGGCGACUGUCUUCUAAAACAAACGAAGACAAGCAAAGUUAAUAAAAAACUUAUUGUAUAACAAAUUAGUUUAACAAUUAUAAAAAUAGGCUAUAAUGACCAAUUAAAAAUUUAUAAAAAUUUUAAUUAUCAAUAAAUAAAAGCUACCUUAGGGAUAACAGGAUAAUUUCAUUUUAGAGAUCAUAUCGAAAAUGAAGUUUGUCACCUCUAUGUUGAAUUAAGAUAUCCAGAUAAUGCAGAAGUUAUCAAA